AUUGAACGCUGGCGGCAUGCUUUACACAUGCAAGUCGAACGGUAACAGGCCUUCGGGUGCUGACGAGUGGCGAACGGGUGAGUAAUGCAUCGGAACGUGCCCAGAGGUGGGGGAUAACGCAGCGAAAGCUGUGCUAAUACCGCAUGUGAUCUGAGGAUGAAAGCGGGGGACCAGGCAGCAAUGUUUGGCCUCGCGCCUUUGGAGCGGCCGAUGUCAGAUUAGGUAGUUGGUGGGGUAAAGGCCUACCAAGCCGACGAUCUGUAGCUGGUCUGAGAGGACGACCAGCCACUCUGGGACUGAGACACGGCCCAGACUCCUACGGGAGGCAGCAGUGGGGAAUUUUGGACAAUGGGCGCAAGCCUGAUCCAGCAAUGCCGCGUGCGGGAAGAAGGCCUUCGGGUUGUAAACCGCUUUUGUACGGAACGAAAAGGCUCUGGCUAAUACCUGGGGCUGAUGACGGUACCGUAAGAAUAAGCACCGGCUAACUACGUG
RNAcentral lists this ribosomal RNA (492 nucleotides) under uncultured bacterium. Its description in RNAcentral is "partial 16S ribosomal RNA". It matches the Rfam family "Bacterial small subunit ribosomal RNA", at positions 30 to 507 of the family's 1533-position model. The record is from RNAcentral.